RNAcentral lists this unclassified non-coding RNA (391 nucleotides) under Hevea brasiliensis (rubber tree). Lineage: Eukaryota; Viridiplantae; Streptophyta; Magnoliopsida; Malpighiales; Euphorbiaceae. The record is from RNAcentral.
GCAGCUGCAAUAACAAAAACGAAGGCUGACUACCAUCAUGGAGACACCAGUGUUCACGUCAUGAAUGCGUUGCCUAAGAGCUCAGAAGCCAUGCAUAUUAGCUGCUCCUCCAAGAAUACAAGUCUUGAACAUCAGGAGCUGGGUCCUGGUGAGGAAUAGCGAUGGAAAGUCGAAGAAAGAUCUUUGUAUGUGUGUUAUUCAGUGUGGACACGCUUGUUUCAGAGAUGGCAUGCGUUUCAGCCACGCAGAGAUGAGAAUCAUAGAGAGGUGUUUUGGGUGGUGAAGGAAGAUGGGUUCUAUCUUAGCUGGGAUAAAUCCACUUGGGUGAGAAAAGCUGUAUGGGAAUCCGAGUGAUUUUGGAACGAAAAUUUAUACAAUAUAGGUGAAAUGG